Molecule: ribosomal RNA, 447 nt
Filed under: uncultured bacterium
Lineage: Bacteria
Description: bacterial SSU rRNA
Rfam family: Bacterial small subunit ribosomal RNA
Source: RNAcentral
GUCCAGACUCCUACGGGAGGCAGCAGUGGGGAAUAUUGCACAAUGGGGGAAACCCUGAUGCAGCAACGCCGCGUGGGUGAAGGAGCGUUUCGGCGCGUAAAGCCCUGUCAGCGGGGAAGAAGAAAGACGGUACCCGACCAAGAAGCCCCGGCUAACUACGUGCCAGCAGCCGCGGUAAUACGUAGGGGGCGAGCGUUAUCCGGAUUUACUGGGUGUAAAGGGAGCGUAGACGGCCAUGCAAGCUCGGUGUGAAAGGUGCGGGCACAACCCGCAGACUGCACUGAGAACUGUAUGGCUGGAGUGCCGGAGGGGCAGGCGGAAUUCCUGGUGUAGCGGUGAAAUGCGUAGAUAUCAGGAGGAACACCGGUGGCGAAGGCGGCCUGCUGGACGGCGACUGACGUUGAGGCUCGAAAGCGUGGGGAGCGAACAGGAUUAGAUACCCCGGUA